GGGAGCACAAGAGUCCUAGCCCCGCCCCUUUUGGGGUGGCUCAGAGACACUUCAAAAAUUAGUAAAAUGCCCCCCAUCUAAAAUUAUUGCCCACCUCGACCUAUGUAGCUGACCUAAAAUAUCACAUUCUCCAUGAGAGCAUUUAUAUUCUGUGCCAAGAGCUUCCAGUCUUUGCUUUUUACUUAGUCCUUCUGUAACCGCCUCCUCCCCCACAGUCAAUGACUGAUCCCCGAUUAAAGACCGGAGAAUGAUUUUGGGGAUGUAGCCCAGGGUUUCUCAAACUGGGGGUCAUGACCAGCGGUAAGGAGGGAUGUGGGGGGCCACUGGCCACAUGACCAGACCCUUGCGUGACUCCCAACCGCAACACUCCUAGUCCAGGCGAUGGCUGGGUCAAUGUCUGCCUGCCCCAGGCCUCACCGAUCCCUUCCCCUUCUUCAUGCCUCUCCCUCCCCCGCCCUGCCUCUUCCUGCUCCCCAGACCGCCCAAGGAGCAUUGUUAGGGGGAUUAUAGGAGAGGAUGGCAUAGGCAGCAGGGGUUGUUCCCCCAAAUGCCGGCCAUGUCACUCCGCUUCCCACUGGUGGGUGUGGAGCCAGGGCAGGGGAGGGUGAACAAUGCAGGUGGCAGCUGGGGGAGCAGGCUAGGGUUGCAUUGCUCCACUUCCCUUCUCUAGGCCCCAUUGCUGCUUGUGCCUGUUGCAGCCGCAAUCCCUGCUGUGGAUGCCAGGCCCUCACCAGUCCCUCCCCCGGCUGCCCGGAGGCUCUGGCUCCUGUUUCUCCCACUCGUGGUGUUUACAAGGGGUGUCACCUUCUUCCUUGCCCCCUUACAUGUCGCCCCUGCUCAUGACCCCUCAAGAGGUUGCAAAGUUAUUAUAUGGGAGUCAGCUUCCACUUCCAAAGCCUUCCUCUGCCAGCCUUUUAUACACCCUGGUUCUUCUGAGUUAAGAGCCUGUUUCAUCCAUGAGAGACUGAGAUUUUGGGGAAAUGAAUCAGUGUUUACUCACCACCACCUAUGCCGUUAUCGUCCUGCCAUAGUUUGCCAGGCUCCGAUUCUAGUCAGUCAACUGUCUCCACCUAGUGGCUGACAGAAGCCUUGUUCCUUCUUUCUGGGCAGUUAACCAGUUCUUUGCUCACUUGAUUAACAAACUUGAACCUGUUCUUCCUUUAGGGAAAAACUUGGGAUCAACUUCGGCCCAAUGUAUGCUUGAGGAAGGUGCAAGUGGUUGGGACGAGGAGGUUCCAGGUUGCCAAGGCUAGAAAUGGAAAAGUGCUGCAGUCUCCUCCCUAGAUGAACCUAGCUGCAUAAAUCCAGGCACAGCCGUUGUGAAAAGAGCAGCAGAGAAAUAACAUGUAGACUCAGCCUCCGCAGCGCGCCACGGCAUGCCCGGCUCUCAAGGCUUUGAGUCCUGCAAAAAGUGCCACAAGACUGUGACCCGGGGCAACCCUCAUUCCUCGUGUUUAAAGUGCUUGGAGGAGAUGCAGCUCACAGAAGCCUGCAGAAUCUGCAAGGUGUUUAAGCCCCACAUGAAACACAAGAGAGAGUCGCGUCUAAUGGAGGCAGCUCUCCAGCC
Pelodiscus sinensis (Chinese soft-shelled turtle) is the source of this 1567-nucleotide non-coding RNA. Lineage: Eukaryota; Metazoa; Chordata; Testudines; Trionychidae. The record is from RefSeq and is a predicted model, not a curated record.